UGGGGAAUAUUGGACAAUGGGCGCAAGCCUGAUCCAGCCAUGCCGCGUGGAUGAAGAAGGCCCUAGGGUUGUAAAGUCCUUUCACCGCCGAGGAUAAUGACGGUAGGCGGAGAAGAAGCCCCGGCUAAUUUCGUGCCAGCAGCCGCGGUAAUACGAAAGGGGCUAGCGUUGUUCGGAAUUACUGGGCGUAAAGCGCGCGUAGGCGGCUUAUCAAGUUGGGGGUGAAAUCCCGGGGCUCAACUCCGGAACUGCCUCCAAAACUGGUAAGCUCGAGGCCGUGAGAGGAUAGUGGAAUUCCGAGUGUAGAGGUGAAAUUCGUAGAUAUUCGGAAGAACACCAGUGGCGAAGGCGACUGUCUGGCACGGUUCUGACGCUGAGGCGCGAAAGCGUGGGGAGCAAACAGGAUUAGAUACCCGCGUAGUCC
RNAcentral lists this ribosomal RNA (424 nucleotides) under uncultured prokaryote. Its description in RNAcentral is "bacterial SSU rRNA". It matches the Rfam family "Bacterial small subunit ribosomal RNA", at positions 355 to 796 of the family's 1533-position model. The record is from RNAcentral.